Molecule: ribosomal RNA, 827 nt
Filed under: uncultured bacterium
Lineage: Bacteria
Description: bacterial SSU rRNA
Rfam family: Bacterial small subunit ribosomal RNA
Source: RNAcentral
GCAGGCUUAACACAUGCAACGUUUAACGCUCCGCAAGGAGAGUGGCAGACGGGUGAGUAACACGUGGGAAUCUACCCUUUACUACGGAAUAACGCAUGGAAACGUGUGCUAAUACCGUAUGUGUCCUUCGGGAGAAAGAUUUAUCGGUAAAGGAUGAGCCCGCGUUGGAUUAGCUAGUUGGUGGGGUAAAGGCCUACCAAGGCGACGAUCCAUAGCUGGUCUGAGAGGAUGAUCAGCCACAUUGGGACUGAGACACGGCCCAAACUCCUACGGGAGGCAGCAGUGGGGAAUAUUGGACAAUGGGCGCAAGCCUGAUCCAGCCAUGCCGCGUGAGUGAUGAAGGCCCUAGGGUUGUAAAGCUCUUUCACCGGAGAAGGUAAUGACGGUAUCCGGAGAAGAAGCCCCGGCUAACUUCGUGCCAGCAGCCGCGGUAAUACGAAGGGGGCUAGCGUUGUUCGGAUUUACUGGGCGUAAAGCGCACGUAGGCGGAUCGAUCAGUCAGGGGUGAAAUCCCAGAGCUCAACUCUGGAACUGCCUUUGAUACUGUCGAUCUGGAGUAUGGAAGAGGUGAGUGGAAUUCCGAGUGUAGAGGUGAAAUUCGUAGAUAUUCGGAGGAACACCAGUGGCGAAGGCGGCUCACUGGUUCCAUUACUGACGCUGAGGUGCGAAAGCGUUGGGGAGCAAACAGGAUUAGAUACCCUGGGUAGUCCACGCCGUAAAACGAUGAAUGUUAACCCGUUCGGGCAAGUAUACUGUUUCGGUGGGCGCAGCYUAACCGCAUUUAAACAUUCCCUCCUGGGGGGAGUUACGGUCCGCCAGAAUUUAAA